RNAcentral lists this ribosomal RNA (465 nucleotides) under uncultured Klebsiella sp. RNAcentral describes it as "bacterial SSU rRNA". It matches the Rfam family "Bacterial small subunit ribosomal RNA", at positions 338 to 795 of the family's 1533-position model. The record is from RNAcentral. Lineage: Bacteria; Pseudomonadati; Pseudomonadota; Gammaproteobacteria; Enterobacterales; Enterobacteriaceae.
CCUACGGGGGGCAGCAGUGGGGAAUAUUGCACAAUGGGCGCAAGCCUGAUGCAGCCAUGCCGCGUGUGUGAAGAAGGCCUUCGGGUUGUAAAGCACUUUCAGCGGGGAGGAAGGCGUUAAGGUUAAUAACCUUGGCGAUUGACGUUACCCGCAGAAGAAGCACCGGCUAACUCCGUGCCAGCAGCCGCGGUAAUACGGAGGGUGCAAGCGUUAAUCGGAAUUACUGGGCGUAAAGCGCACGCAGGCGGUCUGUCAAGUCGGAUGUGAAAUCCCCGGGCUCAACCUGGGUACUGCAUUCGAAACUGGCAGGCUAGAGUCUUGUAGAGGGGGGUAGAAUUCCAGGUGUAGCGGUGAAAUGCGUAGAGAUCUGGAGGAAUACCGGUGGCGAAGGCGGCCCCCUGGACAAAGACUGACGCUCAGGUGCGAAAGCGUGGGGAGCAAACAGGAUUAGAUACCCGUGUAGUC